This 1009-nucleotide long non-coding RNA is filed under the name Canis lupus dingo (dingo). RNAcentral's name for it is "lncRNA (ENSCAFG00020000722.1)". Lineage: Eukaryota; Metazoa; Chordata; Mammalia; Carnivora; Canidae. The record is from RNAcentral.
GCUUCCAGGUUUAUAAAGCUACCCUGGCCUUACCUCUAUUUCCAGAUCUACAGAGCCCAGAGCCUUUGCCCUGGUGCCCUCCAGCAUGAGAUGCUUUCUGCAUGGCUGGCUCCUCCUUGUUAUUCAUAUUUCAAUUUAAAUAUCACCUCCUUGGAGAGAAAUUCCCUCAACUAAACUAAAGUAGCCUACCCACUCACUUUAUCAGUUCUUCUUAUCUUAAUUCUCUGAGUAUCACUAUCUCACAUGUUUCUUGUCUUCAUAAUCUUUUUCCUGCCCUAAAGAAAAAAAAAAAAAAAAGCAUCAUCAAAUGGAGAUUUGUCUUGUUCUACCACUGUAUCUCUAUUGCUCAAUAUUGUGUGUGGUGCACAGUAGGUACUCAAUAAAUAUCAGCUGAAUGGAUUUGUUAUAAUUUCAUAAUCAUUAUAAUGAAUAUUAUAUCAUUAUCACUAUUAUACCAAAGUAGUCUACUUUGGAAUGAGAUUUACUCUACCUUUAGUAUCUAUUCCUUUCCCUGCUUUAUUUUUCCUUUUGGUACUAAUCACUUUGUGUCACUGUAUAAUGUAUUUAUUUAUUCAUUUAUGUUAGGGAAUGUCACUGAAAAGAUGUGACUGCCAACUGACCUGUGAGGUAGACCCAGGCACUCAGGGUUCCUCAGCCAACUCCCCUGUCCUGGGAACAUGGGUUCUGCUUGUCUUUCCCACUUUCAGAGGCUGCUCCAAGGACAUGGCCUUGAGAUAGUGAUGUAAUGUUUAGAUCACCUGCAUGGUAUAUGUGAUUCAAACAGUUAAGACCUCUACAUAAACUUUUAAGAUGUUGCAGAUGGGUGCAGGGAACCAUUCAGCUUGCUGCCACCCAAGACAAGCCUCAAAUGUAAAUUCCCUUUGCUAUUAUUAAAACUGCCACCUACUAACCUGGUGUGGACUGCAUCUUUCUCUAGUCUCUUCCUAUUCUCUAAGUACAGGGCCAGUUUCAGUUUAUACCUGGGAAGCUCCCCAGAGGGUUGCCAAAC